This 253-nucleotide ribosomal RNA is filed under the name uncultured bacterium. Its description in RNAcentral is "partial 16S ribosomal RNA". It matches the Rfam family "Bacterial small subunit ribosomal RNA", at positions 524 to 776 of the family's 1533-position model. The record is from RNAcentral.
UACAGAGACUGCAAGCGUUAUUCGGAUUCACUGGGCGUAAAGGGUGCGCAGGCGGCCAAGUGUGCAAGGCGUGAAAGCCUGGAGCUUAACUCCAGAAUUGCACCUCAAACUACAUGGCUAGAGCAUUGGAGAGGGUAGCGGAAUUCACGGUGUAGCAGUGAAAUGCGUAGAUAUCGUGAGGAACACCAGAGGCGAAGGCGGCUACCUGGACAAUUGCUGACGCUCAGGCACGAAAGCGUGGGGAGCAAACAGG